GGGGAUGACAGGUUUCGACGAUGUUAGUCGCGCCAGGGGAAGCGGGCCGAGGAUGCAGAGUUAUCUCGGAAACGCCCUCUGCAAAACAAUAAGUGCCGAAUCUAAGCGCACUGACUUCGCUCUCGCUGCCUAAGCAGUAGACCGAGUCCGUCAGCCCGGGGACGCUCCCGCCCCGGAUGCUGGCGUCAUUUAGGGGGCCACUGCUGGACACUUUCGCCGUCGGAGUGUCCGGGACUUUUAGACGGCUGGGCCCGGGUCAGCCACCUGUUUGCAGGAUGGCUGGGGCCAAGAAAACCCGACGCAAACUGCGCCCGGAGAAGUCCUGGCAACACAACAUCGGACGGGGGUUCAAUUCCCCCCAUCUCCAC
This 368-nucleotide transfer-messenger RNA is filed under the name Arthrobacter mangrovi. It matches the Rfam family "transfer-messenger RNA". Rfam says of the family: Bacterial tmRNA, also known as 10Sa RNA or SsrA, is named for its dual tRNA and mRNA-like properties. Its role is to liberate the mRNA from a stalled ribosome. Lineage: Bacteria; Bacillati; Actinomycetota; Actinomycetes; Micrococcales; Micrococcaceae. The record is from RNAcentral.